GGGGGCGUAACGGAUUCGACGGGAUUGAAUCGUGGUGGCAAGGCGUGCCGGGUUCCGAGCUCCCGUAAAACGAUCGGAAAACCAAAAACUGCCAACACGCAGUUUGCUUACGCUGCCUAGUUUCUAGGUAGCCGCCCCUGUUCCGAGGCCCGCAUCGGAGCAGGUAGGCGUCAUAUGGCGGGAUAGGCGAAAGGGCUUCCGCCUGUAGCCCUUAGCCGAAAGUAAUCAGGCUGGGUGGCGUCAGGCUUGCCGGUUUCCAGGACGCCGCCGAGAAUACGAACCGGCUACGCACGUAGGCUUGUCACGGCGAGCUUUCUCGGACGCGGGUUCAACUCCCGCCGCCUCCACCA
This 350-nucleotide transfer-messenger RNA is filed under the name Bryobacteraceae. RNAcentral's name for it is "CAADGY01 sp900696665 X1 Standard tmRNA". It matches the Rfam family "transfer-messenger RNA". From Rfam's summary of the family: Bacterial tmRNA, also known as 10Sa RNA or SsrA, is named for its dual tRNA and mRNA-like properties. Its role is to liberate the mRNA from a stalled ribosome. The record is from RNAcentral. RNAcentral also lists the same sequence under 1 other name. Lineage: Bacteria; Pseudomonadati; Acidobacteriota; Terriglobia; Bryobacterales.